Molecule: ribosomal RNA, 273 nt
Filed under: Triticum aestivum (bread wheat)
Lineage: Eukaryota; Viridiplantae; Streptophyta; Magnoliopsida; Poales; Poaceae
Description: partial small subunit ribosomal RNA
Source: RNAcentral
AUGGGAGAUUGGAUCAGAUCCUUCCAUAGAAAAAAUAGGGGAAUGGUGGUGAUUGGGGGGACAAUCAUUUGCUGGACUAUCUGGAAGACCAGAAAUGGGGCCUGUUUUGACAAAAAAUAUCCCGAUGAACCUGCUAAUGUUGUAUUUAAGCUCUGUUCGCUGCUUGAUGCUUGGAAAAUUCUACAGAGAUCCCAAGACAAAGGCGCAAGUGAAGAAGGUGUGAUAAAACUCAAGGAGGUGUUGAGAGAUAUCUUCAAUAGAUUGCAUGGCUGA